GACGGGGGGGGGCAAGUGUUCUUCGGAAUGACUGGGCGUCAAGGGCACGUAGGCGGUGAAUCGGGUUGAAAGUGAAAGUCGCCAAAAAGUGGCGGAAUGCUCUCGAAACCAAUUCACUUGAGUGGGACAGAGGAGAGUGGAAUUUCGUGUGUAGGGGUGAAAUCCGUAGAUCUACGAAGGAAGGCCAAAAGCGAAGGCAGCUCUCUGGGUCCCUACCGACGCUGGGGUGCGAAAGCAUGGGGAGCGAACAGG
RNAcentral lists this ribosomal RNA (252 nucleotides) under uncultured bacterium. RNAcentral describes it as "partial 16S ribosomal RNA". It matches the Rfam family "Bacterial small subunit ribosomal RNA", at positions 524 to 776 of the family's 1533-position model. The record is from RNAcentral.